Long non-coding RNA from Canis lupus familiaris (dog), 1226 nucleotides. RefSeq lists it as uncharacterized. The record is from RefSeq and is a predicted model, not a curated record. Lineage: Eukaryota; Metazoa; Chordata; Mammalia; Carnivora; Canidae. The transcript is spliced from 4 exons.
UUAGUUGGACUCAUAUAGUAUAUAGCCUUUUCAGACCGGUGAUUCUUUCACUUAGAAAUGUGUGUUUAAGAGAGGAUUUGAUUUGGGGAAGACAAAAUAUCGACAGCUUCUGUCAGGAAUUUUGAGCAUUUAAGGAGCUGCAUCGCUCUGUCACUUCCUCCAGCCACUGGUCAGAUGCCACUUUCUACUGAGACCUCCUGACCACUCUGUUUACAGCUGUGCACCCCAGACAUGGAUGGUCGUGAUGGCAGCCCAACGUUGUGAAUGUACUCAAUGCCACAGAACUGUAUGCUUACAGAUGGCUAAAAUGACCUGAGACUACGAAAGUAGAAGGCACAGGACAAGUGUCACAGUCCGCUGACAUAUGAACAAGAGGCUGAGUUCUGCUUUGAGUCCUGCUCUUCAGUGGGAGUGGGGGCAUUUCAGAUCUGACUGGAUGCAAGAGGGACCGUUUCUGCUGGUGCUAUGCAUUUGGUUGGUGGCUCAGGGUGGAAGAGUGUGGCUGAGCUGGAGCUCGGGGCUCAGGUCCUGGAUGAGGAGGCCCCAAACACCAAGGAUGGAAACCAACUGAUCUAAGAACAGUAAAGAGAGCUGUGCACCCAAAAUAUUCGAUUCGAGUACAAUUUUCUGACACUGAAUAAGACCGUUGAUAACAAAUGGCACACGAACUAACACAUCACCUAAGAAACUGUGACAUACCCGGGCCCGAGGCAGCUGUUCUCAUGCAGGCCCCGGGUGAAGGUGCUCUCAAGGCCUUGGAGUGAAUGUGCUCUUCCACACAAGCUGUUAAAAAACUGUCACCAUUUCCAACUACUCUUCUACGUGAGUUGGGAUUUUCACUCCAGACUGUGCCACCAAAGCAAAUGACCAAAAGGAGUGGGUGUUGAGGCCAAUGCUCCACAAUGUCACCCAUGGCUCCCUCUCAGUCUACACUCACCAAUGGCCUCAGUGAUCUCACUGAGUGACUCUGGCAUCCCUGUAAACCUGGGAGGGAUGUGUGGAUGUACAUGUAGUUUACAUCCUAAAAUAGUGCUUUUGUCUGUUUUAUUCAUCAGGGCUCUGGGCAAAUCACUUGAUAAAAGGGUUCUGCUAGAAAAACUAAGCCUGGGGAUCCCUGGGUGGCGCAGCGGUUUGGCGCCUGCCUUUGGCCCAGGGCGCGAUCCUGGAGACCCAGGAUCGAAUCCCACGUCGGGCUCCCGGUGCAUGGAGCCUGCUUCUCCCUCUGC